This is a long non-coding RNA of Xiphophorus hellerii (green swordtail), 1825 nucleotides long. RefSeq lists it as uncharacterized. The record is from RefSeq and is a predicted model, not a curated record. Lineage: Eukaryota; Metazoa; Chordata; Actinopteri; Cyprinodontiformes; Poeciliidae. The transcript is spliced from 3 exons.
GUUGCCAACCUCCAUUAAAAUGUAAAAGAAGACGUGCUCCGUGCUGCGCAUGCGCUGCAUAUUAUCCAGGAAAUUUGAGAUGGAUGGAGGAAAACGGGCUUGACAGCACCCGUUUCCUUUCGAGUAGAGUGUGAAUUGACAGUGUGAAUCCUGAAAAGUCUCCAAAAGCCUCAUUGUGUUACACAACCUGCCAAAACCAACACAGCCGUUAAAGAAAUGCGUUGGCUAAUAAUAGUAUUGCGACAUGAGUCCUCAGGCUUCUAACCGCUAGCUUACAGAUUCGGUCGCUAAUUAGGUUACACAAUAAGCUGUUCAGGUUAAACAAUUACGUUGUUUUUGGCAGAAAUUCAAUCGCAAAAAUUAAAAAGUGAACCACCGACCCUGCGGCCGACUACAAAUAUGAGCCAUAAAAUCCUGAAGUUUGGUGCUCGCACACAGCCUACAGUGAUGUUUGGGAGAUAACUUCAUCCACUUAACAGACUACAUCUCUACUUUGACAGGACAUAGAAGUGAUGCCCCCCGUGGCUCGCCGUCCACCUGAGAGAGGCCUCAUACGGCUCCUGACAAAGUGACUAAUCCUCCCCAUUUCACAGCUCCAGCCCGCUGCUCCCUGCAAAUGUUCAAAGCUGAGCCUGUGUGUGUGUGAUGCGUGACAGGUGGGUGCAUGUCACACAAGUUCAAGGUGUUUCUUUAGUUGUUGUAACAAGCGACUCAGACAGCUGCUGAGCUUUGAGUGAUUAGAGAUAUAACUCCAUCACUGACGCUCCACCUGAGCUACAUCACUUCCUGAUUUCUUGUUGACAGAUUCUUGAAAAUGAGGUUCACCUACACAAGAAAAAAUUUCUCCUCUUGUUCCCUCAGAUUAGAAAGUAAUGUUACCCUCAACUUUGAAAUUAGCAUCUUAUUUCCGGUGAAUCCACCUCCAGUAUCAAGCCUCAGCUGGUGAUAUAAGCCGAGGAAGGAAUAAUCAGAACUAUAAAUCACUGAACUCUGUUCUUGCUGUGUGUCUGCUAGCGCUGAUUGAUUAUGGGAACUACAGUAAGAGGGCGCAGGAGUCUGCGCAAAAUUUGUUUCAGAGGGUGAUCUUUUUAAAGAAAUGGUUCACCCUAAAAUUUAUUUUAAAAAAACAGAGAUGAAGCAAGUACAGCUUCUCUUUGUGUGUGUAUGUGUGUGUUCUGCUGCUGAAAUGUCAUUUUUCACUUUUUAACCUUGAUGUAUUAAGAGUUAGUAAUAAUCUUAAUUACAUGUUAAAUAAGGUAGCUGCGCUUUAAUUACACACUGGACAGGUUAACUAAAUGCAGAACUGUAGUGAAAAGUGUUAUAGUACAAUAAUUAGAAACUAGGUGCAUUGCAGUCUUACUCCAAAUUAAUCCAAAACAACAUUUUUGGAUUGAAUUUCAUUCUUUUUAGAAAUUCUGGUAAAUAUUCAUAAAUAGUUUGGUGCUAUAAAGCAGACUAUUGGUAAUUUUCAUGUCAUUUAUUAGUCAUAUUUUAACACUUCCAGUGAUUCGUGUUGCAGUUGCACAUUUUACAGUAAAGUUUGGAUUAGAGGUGCAUGAUAAAUCAGUCACUAUGUUCACCCCAUGUUUGCCAACUUAACAACUUUUCUGACCAAAACAAUUAAUAUUGGCCAAUGAUUUUUAAAGAUUGGUGAUCGGUCAAAGAAUGAGUGAGUUGCUAGGUAACCAGAGAGCGAGUGAGUUAGUUGAAGCCACCGACUUAAGAUAUAAAGAGGCUGAGCGGCUAUAUUUAUCACAUGUCUAUCGCAAUAUAUGCUGUUCUUGAUGUAUUGUCCAGUCCUGUGAUUAAACUGUAACAAGUUCCU